This 466-nucleotide ribosomal RNA is filed under the name uncultured bacterium. Its description in RNAcentral is "partial 16S ribosomal RNA". It matches the Rfam family "Bacterial small subunit ribosomal RNA", at positions 28 to 507 of the family's 1533-position model. The record is from RNAcentral.
GAUGAACGCUGGCGGCGUGCUUAACACAUGCAAGUCGAACGAUGAAGCCCAGCUUGCUGGGUGGAUUAGUGGCGAACGGGUGGGUAACACGUGAGUAACCUGCCCUUAACUCUGGGAUAAGCCUGGGAAACUGGGUCUAAUACCGGAUAGGAGCGUCCACCGCAUGGUGGGUGUUGGAAAGAUUUAUCGGUUUUGGAUGGACUCGCGGCCUAUCAGCUUGUUGGUGAGGUAAUGGCUCACCAAGGCGACGACGGGUAGCCGGCCUGAGAGGGUGACCGGCCACACUGCGACUGAGACACGGCCCAGACUCCUACGGGAGGCAGCAGUGGGGAAUAUUGCACAAUGGGCGCAAGCCUGAUGCAGCGACGCCGCGUGAGGGAUGACGGCCUUCGGGUUGUAAACCUCUUUCAGUAGGGAAGAAGCGAAAGUGACGGUACCUGCAGAAGAAGCACCGGCUAACUACGUG